AGCUCCAAUAGCGUAUAUUAAAGUUGUUGCAGUUAAAAAGCUCGUAGUUGGACUUCUGGCCUGGGCGACCGGUCGGCGCCCUCGUGGCGUGUGCACUGUUGUCGGCCCGGGUCAUCCUCGUGCGGAUCCGGUCUUCCAUUCAUUUGGCGGGUCGGGGAAGCGCGACGUUUACUGUGAAAAAAUUAGAGUGUUUAAAGCAGGCGAUCGCUGUGAAUACAUUAGCAUGGAAUAAUGAGAUAGGACUUUGGUACUAUUUUGUUGGUUUGCGCACCAAGGUAAUGAUUAAUAGGGAUAGUUGGGGGUAUUCAUAUUCAAUUGUCAGAGGUGAAAUUCUUGGAUUUAUGGAAGAUGAACUUAUGCGAAAGCAUUUACCAAGGAUGUUU
RNAcentral lists this ribosomal RNA (383 nucleotides) under uncultured eukaryote. Its description in RNAcentral is "SSU rRNA". It matches the Rfam family "Eukaryotic small subunit ribosomal RNA", at positions 587 to 969 of the family's 1831-position model. The record is from RNAcentral.